RNAcentral lists this ribosomal RNA (343 nucleotides) under uncultured bacterium. RNAcentral's name for it is "bacterial SSU rRNA". It matches the Rfam family "Bacterial small subunit ribosomal RNA", at positions 28 to 371 of the family's 1533-position model. The record is from RNAcentral.
GACGAACGCUGGCGGCGUGCUUAACACAUGCAAGUCGAGCGGUAAGGCCCUUUCGGGGUACGACGAGCGGCGAACGGGUGAGUAACACGUGGGUGACCUGCCCUCCAGCUCUGGGAUAAGCCUGGGAAACCGGGUCUAAUACUGGAUAUGACUCCAUGACGCAUGUUGUGGGGUGGAAAGCCUUGUGCGGCUGAGGAUGGGCCCGCGGCCUAUCAGCUUGUUGGUGGGGUGANGGCCUACCAAGGCGACGACGGGUAGCCGGCCUGAGAGGGCGACCGGCCACACUGGGACUGAGACACGGCCCAGACUCCUACGGGAGGCAGCAGUGGGGAAUCUUGCGCAA